Long non-coding RNA from Oncorhynchus keta (chum salmon), 796 nucleotides. RefSeq lists it as uncharacterized. The transcript is spliced from 5 exons. The record is from RefSeq and is a predicted model, not a curated record. NCBI's taxonomy places the organism in Eukaryota, Metazoa, Chordata, Actinopteri, Salmoniformes, Salmonidae.
UAACUAGGUGUAUUGUGACUAGGUGUAUUGUGAGUAGGUGUAUUGUGACUAGGUGUCUUGUGACUAGGUGUCUUGUGACUAGGUGUCUUGUGAGUAGGUGUAUUGUGACUAGGUGUAUUGUGACUAGGUGUCUUGUGACUAGGUGUCUUGUGAGUAGGUGUAUUGUGACUAGGUGUAUUGUGACUCGGUGUAUUGUGACUAGGUGUAUUGUGACUCGGUGUAUUGUGACUAUGUGUCUUGUGACUAGGUGUCUUGUGACUAGGUGUCUUGUGAGUAGGUGUAUUGUGACUAGGUGUAUUGUGACUCGGUGUAUUGUGACUAGGUGUAUUGUGACUCGGUGUAUUGUGACUAUGUGUCUUGUGACUAGGUGUCUUGUGAGUAGGUGUAUUGUGACUAGGUGUCUUGUGACUAGGUGUCUUGUGAGUAGGUGUAUUGUGACUAGGUGUAUUGUGACUCGGUGUAUUGUGACUCGGUGUAUUGUGACUCGGUGUAUUGUGACUAUGUGUCUUGUGACUAGGUGUCUUGUGAGUAGGUGUAUUGUGACUAGGUGUCUUGUGACUAGGUGUCUUGUGAGUAGGUGUAUUGUGACUAGGUGUAUUGUGACUCGGUGUAUUGUGACUAGGUGUAUUGUGACUCGGUGUAUUGUGACUAUGUGUCUUGUGACUAGGUGUAUUGUGACUAGGUGUAUUGUGACUAGGUGUAUUGUGACUAGGUGUAUUGUGACUCGGUGUAUUGUGACUAGGUGUAUUGUGACUAGGUGUAUUGUGACUAGGUGUAUUGUGACUCUGUGUAUUGU